RNAcentral lists this unclassified non-coding RNA (350 nucleotides) under plant metagenome. Its description in RNAcentral is "partial contains 5.8S ribosomal RNA, internal transcribed spacer 2, and large subunit ribosomal RNA". The stretch from base 1 to 105 matches the Rfam family "5.8S ribosomal RNA", at positions 50 to 154 of the family's 154-position model. The record is from RNAcentral.
AAGCUGCGAUAAGUAAUGUGAAUUGCAGAACUCAGUGAAUCAUCGAGUCUUUGAACGCACAUUGCGCCCCCUGGCACUCCGGGGGGCACGCCUGUCCGAGCGUCGUCCGACCACCCUUCAGGCCCCUUUGUCACCUGGCUUCCGGGUGCGCGACGGGGUCUGGCCUUGGGCCUACAUGCGCCCCCGCGUCGGGCGAGCCCGCAAGUCACCGACCGGUCGUCCCCGAGGGCCCCGAGCGCAGCGGCUGUCCCAUGCUCGAGGAGGUCCCCGCGGGACGCCCACCGGCGUACCCCCCGGCCCAGACGCACGUUUGACCUCGGAUCAGGCGGGGUUACCCGCUGAACUUAAGC